Molecule: ribosomal RNA, 447 nt
Filed under: uncultured Hyphomicrobiales bacterium
Lineage: Bacteria; Pseudomonadati; Pseudomonadota; Alphaproteobacteria; Hyphomicrobiales
Description: bacterial SSU rRNA
Rfam family: Bacterial small subunit ribosomal RNA
Source: RNAcentral
AACGAACGCUGGCGGCAGGCUUAACACAUGCAAGUCGAGCGCCCCGCAAGGGGAGCGGCAGACGGGUGAGUAACGCGUGGGAAUCUACCUUUUGCUACGGAAUAACGCAGGGAAACUUGUGCUAAUACCGUAUGUGUCCUUCGGGAGAAAGAUUUAUCGGCAAGAGAUGAGCCCGCGUUGGAUUAGCUAGUUGGUGGGGUAAAGGCCUACCAAGGCGACGACCCAUAGCUGGUCUGAGAGGAUGAUCAGCCACAUUGGGACUGAGACACGGCCCAAACUCCUACGGGAGGCAGCAGUGGGGAAUAUUGGACAAUGGGCGCAAGCCUGAUCCAGCCAUGCCGCGUGAGUGAUGAAGGCCCUAGGGUUGUAAAGCUCUUUCACCGGAGAAGAUAAUGACGGUAUCCGGAGAAGAAGCCCCGGCUAACUUCGUGCCAGCCGCCGCGGUAA